GAACUUUCAGCUGCAGAUUAUCAUACCCAAGCUGUCCUUUGUACCUUUCAAAUAUAUUUUCGAGUGCUUCAACAAACCGACCGUGUAAAUCAAGCACCUCGUCACUUGUUGGAUUUGGAUUUUUCUUCACCUCAAUGGGUUUCCCCACCACCACAUGCAUCCGCCGCCUAUAAGGAAGGGGCGAUCCAAAAACUCCCCAGAAGACAAUUGGUGUGAACUUGAUCGCUCUAGAAAAUUGGAGGAAGAAGUUACCACCAGG
Molecule: unclassified non-coding RNA, 259 nt
Filed under: Hevea brasiliensis (rubber tree)
Lineage: Eukaryota; Viridiplantae; Streptophyta; Magnoliopsida; Malpighiales; Euphorbiaceae
Source: RNAcentral